This 76-nucleotide transfer RNA is filed under the name Echinimonas agarilytica. RNAcentral's name for it is "tRNA-Arg". It matches the Rfam family "tRNA". From Rfam's summary of the family: Transfer RNA (tRNA) molecules are approximately 80 nucleotides in length. Their secondary structure includes four short double-helical elements and three loops (D, anti-codon, and T loops). Lineage: Bacteria; Pseudomonadati; Pseudomonadota; Gammaproteobacteria; Alteromonadales; Echinimonadaceae. The record is from RNAcentral.
GUCCCCAUAGUUCAACUGGAUAGAACAGUUGCCUCCUAAGCGAUCGAUCCAGGUUCGAGUCCUGGUGGGGACGCCA